This 497-nucleotide ribosomal RNA is filed under the name uncultured bacterium. RNAcentral's name for it is "bacterial SSU rRNA". It matches the Rfam family "Bacterial small subunit ribosomal RNA", at positions 29 to 519 of the family's 1533-position model. The record is from RNAcentral.
AACGAACGCUGGCGGCGCGCCUAAUACAUGCAAGUCGAGCGAGAAGACGUAGCAAUACGUUUGUAAAGCGGCGAACGGGUGAGGAAUACAUGGGUAACCUACCCUCGAGUGGGGAAUAACUAGCCGAAAGGUUAGCUAAUACCGCGUACGCUCCUUGGACUUCGGUUCAGGGAGGAAAGCGAUACCGUGGGUAUCGCGCUCUUGGAUGGGCUCAUGUCCUAUCAGCUUGUUGGUGAGGUAACGGCUCACCAAGGCUUCGACGGGUAGCUGGUCUGAGAGGACGAUCAGCCACACUGGCACUGCGACACGGGCCAGACUCCUACGGGAGGCAGCAGUAAGGAAUAUUGCGCAAUGGGCGAAAGCCUGACGCAGCGACGCCGCGUGGGGGAUGAAGGUCUUCGGAUUGUAAACCCCUUUCGGGAGGGAAGAUGGAACGAGCAAUCGUUCGGACGGUACCUCCAGAAGCAGCCACGGCUAACUUCGUGCCAGCAGCCGCA